UGCCUCAGUAACGGCGAGUGAAGCGGCAACAGCUCAAAUUUGAAAUCUGGCCUCACGGUCCGAGUUGUAAUUUGUAGAGGAUGCUUUUGGCGAGGUGCUUUCCGAGUUCCCUGGAACGGGACGCCAUAGAGGGUGAGAGCCCCGUACGGUAAGACCACCGAGCCUCUGUAAAGCUCCUUCGACGAGUCGAGUAGUUUGGGAAUGCUGCUCUAAAUGGGAGGUGUACGUCUUCUAAAGCUAAAUACCGGCCAGAGACCGAUAGCGCACAAGUAGAGUGAUCGAAAGAUGAAAAGCACUUUGAAAAGAGGGUUAAAAAGUACGUGAAAUUGUUGAAAGGGAAGCAUUCAUGACCAGACUUGGGCUUGGUUGAACAUCCGGCGUUCUCGCCGGUGCACUCUGCCAGUCCAGGCCAGCAUCAGUUUGCCCCGGGGGACAAAGGCGGUGGGAAUGUGGCUCCCUUCGGGGAGUGUUAUAGCCCGCCGUGUAAUGCCCUGGGGCGGACUGAGGAACGCGCUUCGGCACGGAUGCUGGCGUAAUGGUCAUCAAUGACCCGUCUUGAAACACGGACCAAGGAGUCGUCUUCGUAUGCGAGUGUUCGGGUGUCAAACCCCUACGCGUAAUGAAAGUGAACGUAGGUGAGAGCUUCGGCGCAUCACCGACCGAUCCUGAUGUUCUCGGAUGGAUUUGAGUAAGAGCAUA
RNAcentral lists this ribosomal RNA (699 nucleotides) under Sarocladium strictum. RNAcentral's name for it is "partial large subunit ribosomal RNA". It matches the Rfam family "Eukaryotic large subunit ribosomal RNA", at positions 76 to 804 of the family's 3401-position model. The record is from RNAcentral. Lineage: Eukaryota; Fungi; Ascomycota; Sordariomycetes; Hypocreales; Sarocladiaceae.